GUGCUUGCUUGGACAGCACAUAUACUAAAAUUGGAAUAAUACGGAGAAGAUUAACAUGGCCCCAUGCAAGGAUGACAUGCAAAUCUGUGAAGCGUUCCAUAUUAAA
Small nuclear RNA from Ursus americanus (American black bear), 106 nucleotides. The record is from Ensembl. Lineage: Eukaryota; Metazoa; Chordata; Mammalia; Carnivora; Ursidae.